This 776-nucleotide ribosomal RNA is filed under the name uncultured Neocallimastigales. RNAcentral describes it as "partial large subunit ribosomal RNA". It matches the Rfam family "Eukaryotic large subunit ribosomal RNA", at positions 23 to 635 of the family's 3401-position model. Lineage: Eukaryota; Fungi; Neocallimastigomycota; Neocallimastigomycetes; Neocallimastigales. The record is from RNAcentral.
GAGACUCUGUGCGCGUGCAUAUCAAUAAGCGGAGGAAAAGAAACUAACAAGGAUUCCCUUAGUAACGGCGAGUGAAGCGGGAAGAGCUCAAAUUUGAAAUCUUCAAGGUUUUACCUUGACGAAUUGUAGUUUAAAGAAGUGUUUUCUGUUGGAGUUUUGGUAAAAGUUCUUUGGAAUAGGACAUCAUAGAGGGUGAGAAUCCCGUAUUUGACCAGUUACUUUCCAGCUGUGUGAUACACUUUCAAAGAGUCGGAUUGUUUGGGAAUGCAGUCCAAAAUUGGUGGUAAAUUUCAUCUAAAGCUAAAUAUUGGCGAGAGACCGAUAGCGAACAAGUACCGUGAGGGAAAGAUGAAAAGAACUUUGAAAAGAGAGUUAAACAGUACGUGAAAUUGUCAAAAGGGAAGCGUUUGACACCAGUGUUGUUUUCUCGAAAAUCUAUUAAAAAUGGCUUGAUUUUGUGUUGUAUUGACUUUAUCGGCUUUCUGCACUUUUUUCAUGUCUUUUUUAAUGCACUUUUCGUUUAACAAGUCAACAUCAAUUUCUUUUGUUGUAAAAGGGUUAUUGGAAGGUGGCUUUCUCUUCGGAGGAAGUGUUUAUAGCCUUUAACCUCUGCAAUCGGAGAGAUUGAGGUCUGCAGCGUAGAUCCUUCGGGGUUAGAUACAUUUGUGCUAAGUUAUAGUCUUUUAUAGACAACUUGUUGACUAUGACUGAUCUUGUAGCUUACUCGCUUAUGCUAUUUUACCUACGCUUAGGAUGUUGAAGAUGUAGCACAUCAU